CACACACAUGACAGGAAGCCACCAAGCUAGCUAAGGCUAACAAGCUAGCUAAGGCUAACAAGCUAGAAAACACACAGAUAGAAAAGUGGGCUGACAUUUCACAUUUCACUGAGGGUCAAUUAAUUUUGUUUCUGGACCAGUUUGAGCUCACGGGCCGCCGUGUUCUGACCCGGCGCUGAGCACCCAGUACCCUGUGGAGCCUGCUGGUACUGUGUGUUGACACCAGAGCUGAGUGAGCUCCGUGUGGUCGCGUGCCCAGCUCAUCCUGUUGUUCCCGAGCCAGCAGAGUGGAUCCCUGCUGGGUGGCAGAACCAGACCAACACUGUGAGGAGAGGCGUCUGCUGGACCGAGCCGAUGACAGAAGCUCUUCCUUCCUGCUACAGUUACCUGAGUUACCUGUCUAAAUGUUAGUUUACCCCAAAACAUGUUGGAGUGACUGACCUCCGACCUGCAGAGGAGCUGACAGGACUACAUUUCCCAGCAGCCAUCAGUGGACUCCAUCCACGUUCCUGGUGUGUCUGAACCUGAGCGGCUGGUCUUUGGGUCGACACCCCUCCUCCCCGUCCUCAGAUCAGAUUAGUGCAGCUGAGAGGGGAUUUGGGAUGCUACACUUCGUGGAGGCGACCCGCUGACAGCCGUCACGCUCAUCACCAGCGUCACGUAAAAAUGUGUCAUCUGCAAAGCUGUUUUAAGGCCGGAAGCAGACAAAUGUUUAUCAUGAAGCAAGACAGGAACAUAAGAGCAGCACAAGACACGGCUCGAUUUACAAAAAAUAAAAUCAGACCUGCCCUGAAAAGAUUUAAUGUUGCUGCUAUAAAUAAUGUUAAAUGGGGAUGAGGGGGAGGAGCAAGACGAAGAGGGAGGAGCAAGACAAAGAGCGAGGAGGCGGGGCAAGGGACCUCUGCUGUGAGACCCGGCAGCUCUCAGUCCUCCAGAACCAGCACCGGGUCUUGACUGAGGACCAGAACUGUGCGAUAACAUUAGCAGAGCGUCGCAGCUGCUCUGGAGUUCACUCUGCAGAACAUCUGGGAGGUUCUAGCCGCUGACAGAACCGACACGGCUCCACGUUAGACAACAUCUCAUCUGGUCGUAUUAAAACGACUGCAGUCAAAAUAACAAACCUCGACCUGUAACACUGCAGGUGCUUGAGACAAAACGUGGAGCUGAAAGAAGCUAAAACACCGUGUAUGAGGUCCAAACAGUGACUGAACCAGCGCCUGUGCAAUGGAUCCUGGGGUUCUGUACGCUGCUCUCCUCUUACAGACUGGUACAGUAGAGCAGCUCACUCAAGACAGAACACAUGUGAAUAUUUUAUAACUCGUAUGAUACAAGAAGGAAACGGGACACCGGGCUGAGCCGGGCUGAGCCGGGCUCGCAGGGUUUCCUCAUUUCAAGAGUCUGUUUAAGUGCAAGUGAAGAGGAGAAACCUGCAGGCCCGGUGGACCAGCGCCUGUUCAGAACUCUGCUCUGAGCCUCAGCGUGUGACGCACAUCUCUGCCAGCACAGGACAUCAGAGAGAACCGGGACGGUUCAGAGCUGCAGAGAUUCUGCUGCUUCUGGUCUCGUCAUGCUGUGAGUCCAUAUGGACGCUGGUGUUGGCGCUCAGAGCUCUGUGUCAGCAGACAGAGGAAGAGACGACACGAGCCAACUGUCCUCUGCUGCGUGAGGCCGUCUGGAGCUCAGUGUCGAAGGAAAAAGCUUGCCCGGCUCGGCUCGGCUCGGCCCGGCUCGGCCCGGCUCACCUCCCUCUCUGCCUGAAUAGACUAGUGGAGGUUCAGGUACGAGCUGGAAGGCUCCAGUGGAAAAUGAAUCUGGAGGAGACAGUGGGGCUGUUAGGUUAGCAUGUCUGUCUGUCUGCAUGAGAGGGAGGGAGACAUGUGUGUUAUCCAUCAGCUGUCUCAGGUGGAUGACGAUCAGAGGCUUCACUUCUCUCUAUAGCAGCUCUGUGUUAGCUCCUGUCUCUUUAAGGCCCCUCCCCCUCUGCUCUGAUUGGUCAGCUCACACGCACCUGAGCCAGCCCAGCUAACAGCAACAACACCAGCUGUGCUAACUCAAGUUUUACAUGACAAACUUGUUGAAAUUAUGCAGAUGUGUGACAUGAUGACAGUGUGAUGUCACAAAGUAACAGAAUUAAAGGCGGGACUACCAACGAGGCGUUCAGGAGCACUGUUUUCUGUGGGAGAGACAAGCUUCUUCUUUCAGUUAUUCAUCCGGACUGAAGGUUCUGGAACCGGUCCAGUGGAUCACCUCAGCUGGCAGCCAACAGCUAAUAAUUCACAUGUGAACAAUCAAAAGUACACGUGUGUAAAAAUGUAAACUUCACCUGUAAACAUGAUUCAUUGUAACAUGUUAAAGGUUUAAUUUCACUUGUAACAAAAUCAUUUCUCAUGUGGAAUAUUAAACCUUUAACAUCAAAAUCUUAAUCAUAUGUAAAAAUAAAUAAAAAACAACCACUUGUGAAAAUGUCCAGUAAAGAAUACGUGAAAAUGUCAAAUUUUAAAUCACUUUUUUGUUUCCACUUGUGUAAAUAUGUGAAACAUAAAGACGUCCAGUCGAUGACGAGCAGAUCAUUUCUACGUUCCUCUGUUUUCCCUCUUCUUCCUCCUCUUCCUCCUCUUCGUCUCCGUCUCUUCUUCUUCGUUGUUUUUCCUCGCUGUGCGUCCACCCACACUAACCCAGCAUGCUCUCUGCCCCGGGCUGCCUCUCGUCUCCAUACAUACAGGAGCAGUUGACUGUUUGCUGCAGCGCUCGGCGGCCUCGCUGUGAUUCAUGAACACACAAUAAACUGUUUCUUAUAAAAAACGGUGGAGGAAGUAGUGUCAGAAAAAAACAGCAGGAUUUACAUCCAGAGAGACGAGGAGCUGCAGCCCGUCGGUUAAAGGAGCAGUCCGACUGUUCAUCAGCGUCAGACGAGAGGUCUGAGAGUCAGCAGUGAGUCUGAGAUGGAGGACGGUCCAC
This is a long non-coding RNA of Acanthopagrus latus (yellowfin seabream), 2958 nucleotides long. RefSeq lists it as uncharacterized. The transcript has 4 exons. The record is from RefSeq and is a predicted model, not a curated record. Lineage: Eukaryota; Metazoa; Chordata; Actinopteri; Spariformes; Sparidae.